AACGAACGCUGACGGCAUGCCUAACACAUGCAAGUCGAACGAGACCUUCGGGUCUAGUGGCGCACGGGUGCGUAACGCGUGGGAACCUGCCCUUAGGUUCGGAAUAACUCCCCGAAAGGGGUGCUAAUACCGGAUAAUGUCUUCGGACCAAAGAUUUAUCGCCUUUGGAUGGGCCCGCGUUGGAUUAGCUAGUUGGUAGGGUAAAAGCCUACCAAGGCGACGAUCCAUAGCUGGUCUGAGAGGAUGAUCAGCCACACUGGGACUGAGACACGGCCCAGACUCCUACGGGAGGCAGCAGUGGGGAAUAUUGGACAAUGGGCGAAAGCCUGAUCCAGCAAUGCCGCGUGAGUGAUGAAGGCCUUAGGGUUGUAAAGCUCUUUUACCCGGGAUGAUAAUGACAGUACCGGGAGAAUAAGCUCCGGCUAACUCCGUG
This 433-nucleotide ribosomal RNA is filed under the name uncultured bacterium. RNAcentral's name for it is "partial 16S ribosomal RNA". It matches the Rfam family "Bacterial small subunit ribosomal RNA", at positions 29 to 507 of the family's 1533-position model. The record is from RNAcentral.